CACUUUAACGUUUUAAGGAACUAACCGGAUUCCCCUAGUAACGGCGAGUGAACGGGGAUUAGCCCAGCACCGAAGCCUGUGGCCGUUUGGCUGCUAGGCAAUGUGGUGUUUAGGUCGUCUCUUGGCAUUACUGCUCCAUCCUAAGUCCAGCACUGAGUAUGGCAUCUGGAAUGGCCCAUGGAGGGUGAAAGGCCCGUGGGGGUGGAGAUCAAGUCGGCCAGUAUUGCCCUGAGUAGACCUUGGAGUCGGGUUGUUUGUGAAUGCAGCCCAAAGUGGGUGGUAAACUCCAUCCAAGGCUAAAUACUAACACGAGUCCGAUAGCGAACAAGUACCGUGAGGGAAAGUUGAAAAGUACUCUGUAGAGAGA
This 367-nucleotide ribosomal RNA is filed under the name Neascus hanumanthai. RNAcentral's name for it is "eukaryotic LSU rRNA". It matches the Rfam family "Eukaryotic large subunit ribosomal RNA", at positions 39 to 386 of the family's 3401-position model. The record is from RNAcentral. Lineage: Eukaryota; Metazoa; Platyhelminthes; Trematoda; Diplostomida; Diplostomidae.